Molecule: ribosomal RNA, 339 nt
Filed under: uncultured bacterium
Lineage: Bacteria
Description: partial 16S ribosomal RNA
Rfam family: Bacterial small subunit ribosomal RNA
Source: RNAcentral
GUAGGGGGCGAGCGUUAUCCGGAUUCAUUGGGCGUAAAGCGCGCGUAGGCGGCCCGGCAGGCCGGGGGUCGAAGCGGGGGGCUCAACCCCCCGAAGCCCCCGGAACCUCCGCGGCUUGGGUCCGGUAGGGGAGGGUGGAACACCCGGUGUAGCGGUGGAAUGCGCAGAUAUCGGGUGGAACACCGGUGGCGAAGGCGGCCCUCUGGGCCGAGACCGACGCUGAGGCGCGAAAGCUGGGGGAGCGAACAGGAUUAGAUACCCUGGUAGUCCCAGCCGUAAACGAUGGACGCUAGGUGUGGGGGGACGAUCCCCCCGUGCCGCAGCCAACGCAUUAAGCGU